This is a long non-coding RNA of Xiphophorus couchianus (Monterrey platyfish), 358 nucleotides long. RefSeq lists it as uncharacterized. Lineage: Eukaryota; Metazoa; Chordata; Actinopteri; Cyprinodontiformes; Poeciliidae. The transcript has 2 exons. The record is from RefSeq and is a predicted model, not a curated record.
UCUUCCUGUUCAAUGUAGAAGGAGCUCAACGUGUGUGUCUCGUCUUUUCUAUAUCGCAGAUGCAGGGGUACCAUUGUCAGCGAAGAGGAGAUGACAAGAUUAAUCCGAAUGAAUGAAAGCGGCAGGAAGUGAUGUCACCAGCGAUAAGCCUUACAAAGAACACCAUCAGACACAGAGAGCUACAUAAUUUGUGUCUCCAUCUUUAGAAAUGACUGUCUUCUUUUCCUUUUCUCUUUUUUUGUCCCCACUCUGUUCCCGUAGCGCCUCUUAUCUCUCGACAAUAAUUAAACCCUCGAGGGAGUAUUUUAUGAUGGACAUAUAAACCUAUUUAAAAUGGAAUUAAAGAUGCUAUCGUACA